GGAAGGGGGGUUGGUGGGCGUCCUUUCAUCCCAAACCCUAAGAUGGGCGUAGGCGCCGCCCUUUUGCUCCCUGAGCGCUGUUUUUUCUUGCAAAGUUUGAGUAGGCGGAAAAGCCUCGAUCUACCGCCGUCCACCAUCAGGUUUGGAGCAAACAAGGAACGUCAGCCGCGGGCCCGCUCGCGCCUCCCGGGAGCCUGCGGAGGCUCGCCCGCCCUGCCGCCGCGCUCCGCCUAGAGGCCGCGGCCCGCCCGGGCUUCUCCCGCGGCGCCCCCCGCGGCGCCCAGCGCAGCCGCGAAGGGUUAGGCUCUGCGAGCCGCGGAGGCCGGGGGGACCCAGGGGCCUGGCCCAGCAGGAGAAACAGCGCCGCCCCACGCGCCGGGCGCUUCCCUGAGCUGUGGGACGUGCGCCUGGGACUCAGCAUAAACACGG
RNAcentral lists this telomerase RNA (429 nucleotides) under Dasypus novemcinctus (nine-banded armadillo). Its description in RNAcentral is "Vertebrate telomerase RNA (ENSDNOG00000047367.1)". It matches the Rfam family "Vertebrate telomerase RNA". From Rfam's summary of the family: Telomerase is a ribonucleoprotein reverse transcriptase that synthesises telomeric DNA. Telomerase RNAs differ greatly in sequence and structure between vertebrates, ciliates and yeasts, but they share a 5' pseudoknot structure close to the template sequence. The record is from RNAcentral. Lineage: Eukaryota; Metazoa; Chordata; Mammalia; Cingulata; Dasypodidae.